ACACUUUUUUACUGGAUGUGCUGAUAUCUGGGCUCCUUCGUGGGUGUGCGUGUGUGUGCGUGCUGAGCGUGUGUGUGUGCGCGUGUGAAUGUAUGGGUGUGGUUUCAUGUUUUUUCAUCCGUUAUAUACGUGUGUUAAAUGUUGGCUAUAAAUGUGUUUCUUAUUGCAUGUCCUCGCCUGCCUGUGUGUACAUUGAUUCCUUCACCGCGGCAGGCAUAUUUUCGCAGGGUGUACUGGUCCUCUUUGUGUGCGUUUCCGCGAGGCCGUGCUAGGAACAAAGACCGCGGCUCCCUUCGCACACGGCGGGCCCGCGAGGGGAGUGUUAGCGUGCUGGCCAGGAGGUUCCGCGCUCCGCUCUGGCUCCGUGAGGGUCAGCGGGGGGACGCCGGUGAUGCAUAAUGAACGACGCGCUGAGUGUUCUUCACGCUCUGACGAGCGAGGUUCAACAACACUGCGUCCGCACCCGCGUUAUUCACGAUAGCUUAAAACGAAAACAGGCACGGUGGGCGCCCUCGCUCGCACCACGGGCAGUGGUGGCGACCCCUGGAUCCAGCGGUCCUACUGCGUUACAGCACAGCUUCAGUGGGGAGACAAGGCACGGACACUAGCCCCAGAUUCCAGCUGCUGAGUGCUGAGUGCUUGAGGUGAAGGUUCACACUGGACGGGGGGAAACUGGACGGUCAGCAUAACAGCAGCAGUGAUCGUCAUGCUAGCUUUAAGAGGGUGCUUGACCAACUGACGAGCACACACACACCUCUCUGUAAUAUACACACAUAUACCUCUAUAUCGCUGAACACACAAAUCCCCCCCCCCCUACACACACACACACACACACACACACACACCCAUGAUAUGACCAAUGACUGUUGUACAGUAUUCAAAACAGUAUAGAACAUGGGUGCACACAUAUAAAGCUGGUAAAACACACACACACAGAUGGGCCCCUCUGAGACAGAGGGCCUGCAUCCAGAGGCCCUCCAAGAGCACAGAGACUCAGAUACGGUAGAAGUGGGCAGAACAACAAUAAUGAAAUGAAAAGAAAACCAAAGAAGGAGAGAGAGAGAGAGAGAGAGAGAGAGAGAGAGAGAGAGAGAGAGAGAGAGAGAGAGAGAGCGCUCUGGCCCACACACAGAGCAGGUUGGCAGUAGGAGAUAAAAAUAUGCACGCAGAAACACGCACACUGGCCAAGCCCUUUUCUCUUGCAUUUAUGGACCAAUAGGGGGACCUGUUCGUAUAGGGGACUGCUGGUGGCCGGUACUCCCAGACUGACGGCUCAACCCCCGUUCUGCAAGGUGAACAUAUAAAUAAUACACCACUUGACCUGGAUUCUUUCUACUCACCCACGACUCCAAACAAGCCCAGACAUACUCCACGUUUUUCAGCCUCUCCAGGAAAGAAAACAACUAAAAUAUACAUAAGCUACAGCAUUGGCUGUACAUGAAUUGCUAAUGAGUUUUCCUGUGGUUCUCCGGUGAUUAAUCAGGACGUGCUUUGCUUCCAGUCCAGUUUGGCGCGGCGCUGCCAAACGACCGUCCCAGCGGUGGUCUUAUCGGACCGGAGGAGAACACCCACGCCAGCGCGUGCUAUCGGCGCGGCUGCUGUUUGAUGUGGAGAGAUCUGGCGGGCGUUCGAGGGCUAAAGGUGCAGCCUGCGGGAAGAGAGAGAGAGCCUUCCGCUUUGAUGUGACAGCGAUGACACUGACAAGGCGGCGGUGGACGCCGGGGUCAGCGAGUCGCCGUGACGAGCGUUGAGGCAGAACACAAACCAGACGAGCUAAUGCGAGCAGAGUCAGGAAGUCACGUAAACUGCCACCCUGUUGGGGUGGCCGCCCUAGCUACGUGAUAACUAUAGUUAGGGUUGGUACAAGUAGUCCAUUCAACACUCUAUUAGGUCAUGGCUUUGGUAAACCUAUUAUGUCAGCUAACUUUGAUGCAUUUUGUAACUUUUAAUCCAUUUCGUAACUUUUAAUGCAUUUUCUUUAACUUUGAAUGCAUUUUUUUAAUUUAAAUGCAUCUUACUUGAUUAUUACUAGAGUGUUUUUUAAUGUGAGUCGCUGUGAUGACUGCAGCUCUUCUCCGGGAGGGUUUCAAUUCCUAUCUUUCUGUGUAUCUGUUCUACUUGUUAAUAAAGUUUUUAAGAAUGA
Molecule: long non-coding RNA, 2143 nt
Organism: Gadus morhua (Atlantic cod)
Lineage: Eukaryota; Metazoa; Chordata; Actinopteri; Gadiformes; Gadidae
Exons: 2
Source: RefSeq, a predicted model, not a curated record